This is a non-coding RNA of Mycena maculata, 93 nucleotides long. The record is from the annotation of a GenBank genome assembly. NCBI's taxonomy places the organism in Eukaryota, Fungi, Basidiomycota, Agaricomycetes, Agaricales, Mycenaceae.
CGCUCUGUGGUCUAAUGGUAGGACAUCGCCUCCUUAUGAAAUGAUUGUAAGGCGAUCAGGCGGAGAUUGCGAGUUCGAUUCUCGUCGGAGCCA